Molecule: unclassified non-coding RNA, 336 nt
Filed under: soil metagenome
Description: partial contains 5.8S ribosomal RNA, internal transcribed spacer 2, and large subunit ribosomal RNA
Rfam family: 5.8S ribosomal RNA (bases 1-120)
Source: RNAcentral
GAUGAAGAACGUAGCGAAAUGCGAUAAGUAAUGUGAAUUGCAGAAUUCAGUGAAUCAUCGAAUCUUUGAACGCACAUUGCGCCCGCCAGUAUUCUGGCGGGCAUGCCUGUUCGAGCGUCAUUUCAACCAUCAAGCCCCAGGCUUGUGUUGGGGACCUGCGGCUGCCGCAGGCCCUGAAAACCAGUGGCGGGCUCGCUGUCACACCGGGCGUAGUAGAUUUUAUCUCGCUCUGGGCGUGCUGCGGGUUCCGGCCGUUAAAAAACCCUUUUAACCCAAGGUUGACCUCGAAUCAGGUAGGAAUACCCGCUGAACUUAAGCAUAUCAAUAAGCGGAGGA